Molecule: ribosomal RNA, 446 nt
Filed under: uncultured bacterium
Lineage: Bacteria
Description: partial 16S ribosomal RNA
Rfam family: Bacterial small subunit ribosomal RNA
Source: RNAcentral
CCCAGACUCCUACGGGAGGCAGCAGUGGGGAAUAUUGCACAAUGGGGGAAACCCUGAUGCAGCGACGCCGCGUGAGCGAUGAAGUAUUUCGGUAUGUAAAGCUCUAUCAGCAGGGAAGAAAAAAGACGGUACCUGACUAAGAAGCCCCGGCUAACUACGUGCCAGCAGCCGCGGUAAUACGUAGGGGGCAAGCGUUAUCCGGAUUUACUGGGUGUAAAGGGAGCGUAGACGGCAAUACAAGUCGGAAGUGAAAUACCCGGGCUCAACCUGGGAACUGCUUUGGAAACUGUAUGGCUGGAGUGCUGGAGAGGUAAGCGGAAUUCCUAGUGUAGCGGUGAAAUGCGUAGAUAUUAGGAGGAACACCAGUGGCGAAGGCGGCUUACUGGACAGUAACUGACGUUGAGGCUCGAAAGCGUGGGGAGCAAACAGGAUUAGAUACCCGCGUA